UGUGUAGGCGGUGCUCUAAGUCUGUUGUGAAAUCUCCCGGCUCAACUGGGAGGGUGCGGCGGAAACUGGAGUGCUCGAGUGUGGGAGAGGUAAGCGGAAUUCCUGGUGUAGCGGUGAAAUGCGUAGAUAUCAGGAGGAACACCUGCGGUGUAGACAGCUUACUGGACCACGACUGACGCUGAGACACGAAAGCUGGGUAGCAAACA
RNAcentral lists this ribosomal RNA (206 nucleotides) under uncultured bacterium. Its description in RNAcentral is "partial 16S ribosomal RNA". It matches the Rfam family "Bacterial small subunit ribosomal RNA", at positions 568 to 774 of the family's 1533-position model. The record is from RNAcentral.